Molecule: ribosomal RNA, 282 nt
Filed under: uncultured Staphylococcus sp.
Lineage: Bacteria; Bacillati; Bacillota; Bacilli; Caryophanales; Staphylococcaceae
Description: partial 16S ribosomal RNA
Rfam family: Bacterial small subunit ribosomal RNA
Source: RNAcentral
GUGCCAGCAGCCGCGGUAAUACGUAGGUGGCAAGCGUUAUCCGGAAUUAUUGGGCGCAAAGCGCGCGUAGGCGGUUUUUUAAGUCUGAUGUGAAAGCCCACGGCUCAACCGUGGAGGGUCAUUGGAAACUGGAAAACUUGAGUGCAGAAGAGGAAAGUGGAAUUCCAUGUGUAGCGGUGAAAUGCGCAGAGAUAUGGAGGAACACCAGUGGCGAGGGCGACUUUCUNGGUCUGUAACUGACGCUGAUGUGCGAAAGCGUGGGGAUCAAACAGGAUUAGAUAC